AUGGGCACCCGGUGGUUGCCUCCGGCCUGGGAGCUCUACCUCAAGAACCACUGCAUCUCCACAUUUAAGAACUGGCCCUUCUUAGAGGGCUGCGUCUGCAUCUCGGAGCAGAUGGCUGCCGGCAGGCUUCAUCCACUGUCCCACUGAGAGCAAGCCUGACUUGGCUCAGUGUUUCUUCUGCUUCAAGGAGUUGGAAGGCUGGGAGCCAGAUGACGACCCUAUAGAAGAACAUAAAAAGCAUUCAUCUGGUUGUGCUUUCCUUUCUGUCAAGAAGCAGUUUGAAGAAUUAACCCUCAGUGAAUUUUUGAAACUGGAUAAAGAAAGAAUCAAGAACAAAAUCGCAAAGGAAGCCAACAAUAAACAGAAAGAAUUUGAAGAAACUGCAAAGAAAGUCUGCUUUGCCAUAGAGCAGCUGGCUGCCUUGGAAUGA
Molecule: long non-coding RNA, 430 nt
Filed under: Bos taurus (domestic cattle)
Lineage: Eukaryota; Metazoa; Chordata; Mammalia; Artiodactyla; Bovidae
Description: long non-coding RNA NONBTAT019578
Source: RNAcentral